UUCAUGGAAAUUCUAUUUGGACACUGAAGCUGGUGUAGACCUGGCAGGGAUUCUACACCACAGUGAUUUCCAUGUGGAGGUUACCAAUCCGAGGAGUGGGAAGAGGCACUAAUAGAGGAAUGGUGAUCUGGAUCUCAGCUCAAGUUCAAAGGCUUUGAUCAAAGGACGCAGAACUUUCUGCAACUUUCCCCUGAGAACCUGAGGACACUGUGAACCUUCAGCACCUAGAAGUUUGAGUGUACUCCAGGGCCUGAGACUUGUCAGACUGGCGAUACUCUCUGCUAUGUGACCUUCAACUUGCCGCCUCACAUGUGCUUCACGUGCGAGAUGAAUCAACAACAGUACCAACUGCUGGAGUGUUUCACGGUGACAGGGGUUGAUGCUUGUAGAUCAUUCUACGGAGACCAUUCCACCCAGCAGGUAGCACUUUACUGGUGAAGGUUGCCAGGCAGAUUUGUCCAGGAAGCAGGCCAUGACUUGCAUCUCUAAGGCCACCCCCUGCACUAAGCUGAUUGUUCCAGAGGCUGAGGCCUGGUUGAAGAGCCCUCGGAUAGAUGAGCCAGGAUCAACCACGGGUCCUGCUGGGAAAGUCUCCUCCUGUAUGAUGGCCAAUUCCAAAUGUUCUCAUCUUGUCACAGGAAUUCUUCUCGCCCUCAUUCCUGCCUCAUGAUCCUCCUUCUGAUUUUAGUGAGAACAAGGAAACAACUGGGAAAGAACUGGCUCAUUCUCCCACAAUGCACCUGUGCCCCUCUGCUCUGCCCUCUUCCUGCUCCCCAGCAGGGACAGGACCUGCUCACCUGGGUGCUGGGACUGGUGUCCUGUUGACACUCUGGAACACCAUUUCUGGUUCCCCUGUGUCAAAAUGUCCCAUUGUAAUUAAUCUCUCCAUCUUAACACAACCAAUCCCCACCCCUGCAGCCGCCACCUCCCUCCUGCUGUCCCUUUACAGACCCACUUCCUUGCCUCUGUGUCCCUCCAGCCAGGUAUCUGUCCCCAUCAUUCUGUUGAAGCUGUUCUUGUCAAAGUCACUGCUAAUUUCCUUGUCACCAAACACAGUGGCUAAUUUUCUGUCUUCACCUUACUCAAACUAUCGGAAACACAUCACCUCAUUGAUGACUCUCUUCUCCGAAAACUGUCUUCCUUUAGCCUCUUCAGUGUGGGAAACAGAUAAUAACAAGUAGCUUUUUAAUACAAUGUCAGCUUCAUUACGUGAGGGACUUUAUUCUGGUUAUAGUCUCAUCUCCAGACAUCUAGAAUGGUAUCUGUGACGUAUAAGAUAUACGGUAGAUAUGUGUUGAAUGGAUGAAUCUAGACCAGGGGUCGGCAAAGCACAGCCCAUAGGCCCAAUCUGGCCCACUGCCUGUUUUGUAAAUAAAGCUUUAUUGGAACACAGCCAUCCUCAUUAGUUCACGGAUUACCUAAGGCUGCUUUCACAGCAGAAUGGAAUAGUUGUGAAACAGACUGCCCCACAAAGCCAAAAAUAUUUACUAUCUGGUCUUUUACAGAAAGGGUUGUCUAGCCCCUGGCUUUAAGAUUAACUUCCACUCGGUACUGGGUAUGUGCGUCUCUCCCUGACCCCCACAUGAUCAAUUAAGGUCACAGCACUCUCUCCAGUUCCUGAGCUCCCCGUUCCAUGUGCCUGGAUACUGUAACAGUUUGAAAGCUCACUUUGAACAUAGUGUUCAAUCUGGUUUGCGUUCAGCAUGCUUCCAUUUGGGAAUAUCUUGAAGAUUUAACUUCAAGUCCUUGAACACACAAGGAACAAAUUGUGCGUGUGGUGCACAGUUAAUGGUUUUACUGAAUACUCCAUAUGGUAAUAAUAAUAGUGGUUACCUUCCAACAAUUGCUUGGAAGGGUGCCAGGCACCACACUAAGUUUCUUGUGUCUCUAAGCAUUUUGCUUUAUCUUUUAAUCCUUUCCACAACCAUGUGAUGGAUGAAGCAGUAUUAUUAUAGUUGUCCCUUGGUAUGUGCUGGAGGUUGGUUCCAAGAUACAGCUCCCCACUCCCCUCAAAGCUAAGGAUACUCGAGUCCCUUAUAAGAAAUGGUGUAGUUUUUGCACAUAAUCUAUACGCAUCCUUCCUAUACUUUAGAUCAUCUCUAGAUGACUUGCAGUACCCAGCACAAUGCAAAUGCUAUGUAAAUAGUUAUUGUACGGUAUUGUUUAGGAAGUGAUGACAAGAAAAUCUGUACAUCUUCAGUACAGAUGCAAUUUGCUUCCAAAUAUUUUUGAUCCAUGAUUGGUUGAAUCCCAUGGAUAUAGAGGGCCUAGCAUAGUUCCAUUUUAUGGAUGAAGAAACUCAGGUUAGAGAAGCUGCUGAGCUGUUACAAAAGUAGCCUACCCAAGAGGAACUAGAAAAUGACUCCUCAGAUUCGUGUUGUCUAACACUGAGAUGUUCUCAGGACCACACACCAAGUCUCCUAGUUGGUGGUGAAACUUACACUUCUGGGUCCUUGGGUCCAUAAUCAUCAGGAGCUGCAGCUCAGCACAACCCUCUGAAUUAGUCUCCAGUUGACAAGCAGGGUAAUUCAGCGUUCAGUUCCAUCUGCUUCUUGCCUUACCUCAGAUUGAUUUUACCUUAUUAAUUUGUUUUUGUUAGUGACAACUGAGGCAGAGGGAUACCUUUCUGAAAAAGCCACUCAGAGCCUAAAACAUUUUCCUUUUAUUACAUGUCAAAAUUUGCUUCUAGGAAAAGACACUUCUGCCCAGAAACAGGAAAGGAUUGUCAAGGUGCUAUUUUCCAUUCUGUAAUUUGUUUUAAUGGCUGUCUUCUCUCUGCAUCAAGUGCCUGCUAAGACAACUUUAUGGCUUUUAUUUUUAAGUAAAAAUUCUCGUCAUUUUUGU
Chinchilla lanigera (long-tailed chinchilla) is the source of this 2844-nucleotide long non-coding RNA. RefSeq lists it as uncharacterized. The transcript is spliced from 4 exons. NCBI's taxonomy places the organism in Eukaryota, Metazoa, Chordata, Mammalia, Rodentia, Chinchillidae. The record is from RefSeq and is a predicted model, not a curated record.